Molecule: ribosomal RNA, 207 nt
Filed under: uncultured bacterium
Lineage: Bacteria
Description: partial 16S ribosomal RNA
Rfam family: Bacterial small subunit ribosomal RNA
Source: RNAcentral
CGUGCAGGCGGGUUGGUAAGUCAGAUGUGAAAGCCCUGGGCUCAACCCAGGAAGUGCAUUUGAAACUGCCAUCCUUGAGUAUGGGAGAGGAGAGUGGAAUUCCCAAUGUAGAGGUGAAAUUCGUAGAUAUUGGGAGGAACACCGUGGCGAAGGCGACUCUCUGGACCAAUACUGACGCUGAGACGCGAAAGCGGUGGGGAGCAAACA